Molecule: long non-coding RNA, 1329 nt
Organism: Sciurus carolinensis (gray squirrel)
Lineage: Eukaryota; Metazoa; Chordata; Mammalia; Rodentia; Sciuridae
Exons: 3
Source: RefSeq, a predicted model, not a curated record
CUGUGGGCGGCUGGCCUUGUCCAUCCCCAAGGAGAGAUGCCUUCCAGACACUCUCAGUCACUACGGUUUGCUGAUCCACUAUUUCAAAAGGAAGGAUAGAAUUUAGGCUCCAGCUGGCUGGAGAAAGAACUGGCUCCUACAUGGGCUUGCUGGCCAACCUCAGAUGGCAGGUGGUCAGAGCAGGUGGGUUGAUGACCUCCCCUCAGCCCAGAUCGGGACUGUCUCAAUGGCUCCCAAGGCCCGUGAUUGGCAGGUGAUGACUGAAGGCUCAAAGGCCCAGCCUGACCGCUGCCCCCAUCGUCUUGCUUCUGCAUCCGUCUCCUUUUCACAGUGGUGCCAGUUGUGCUGUGCUGGACUGGGGCCUCCAGACUCCACCAUGGCCUUCCCUGUGUCUCCAGAUAGGGUCCCACUCACAGGCCCGAGGCUGUGACUGCAGCUGACCUGGUGGGGCCACAGUUCCACCACGCUGUACCCCAAUCAGAAGCAGGACAAGGACGUCUGUUCCCUCUUUGACUCAGAUUCAUUCUGGAUCCUUCCUUGUGUUGUAAGAAAGGGAAAGAAGAGCCGUUGGGGCCGGGAAGGGAAGAGACCAGCUCUCUCGAUGCUCAGAGGACAUUACUGAUCACUGGGAAACCUUAUGAACAGUAGAUCUCCUAGACCUGGCAGGCUCAACAAGACUGGCACAAGGUUGACAUACAGGAAAUAAACGUGUUCUGUUUACUAGCAGCAACUGAGUCAAAUCUGAGGUUAAAAAUGACACCAACAAAUAUGGAACAUUUAAUCAUAAAUCUUACCCCAAAAUGUGCAAGUUCGGAACUCAAAAUCACAGGCUUUUGGAGACGAUGUGAAGAUUGAGUAAAUAAAUGAGGGAGAGAGCAUGUUCGUGGACCAGAAGACACAGUACAGUUAAAAUGUCAGGCCUCUCCAGGUUAAUCUGCCCGUUCAAAGCAACCUAAUCAAAAUCCUGUCAGGGUCUUUUGUAGGUGAUAACAAGAUGAUCUCUGAUUUGCACAGAAAUAGAAAGGGCCAAUACAAUCUGAUGAAGUGCAAAUUUGGAGGACACAUAUUCAGACUUAUAGUCAGGCUGCCACCAUCAAACAGUGCCCUGUUAGCCUUCGGGUGGGCACUAUGACCAGACCAGAACAGACCCUGUGACAAAGGGUGCAGGGACAGCUAGGGGCCAGAAGUGGAGCUCAGAUCCAUACCUGGCACUGCAGGCAAGGUGUGGACCCAGAACAGAUCACAGACCUGAAUGCAUGACCUAACCUAGAAUUUCCAGCACAGGAAAAAAAACCUCUCUGUGCCUCCAAUUGGGAAAGGAUUUCUCAA